This is a long non-coding RNA of Pseudophryne corroboree (corroboree frog), 1044 nucleotides long. RefSeq lists it as uncharacterized. The transcript has 2 exons. The record is from RefSeq and is a predicted model, not a curated record. NCBI's taxonomy places the organism in Eukaryota, Metazoa, Chordata, Amphibia, Anura, Myobatrachidae.
GCAAGAGGCGCGGGUAAGGUCACGGGACGCUCUAGAUCCAGAGUCUCCAGUUCUUGUCGAAGAGGAGGCCCAGGAGAGUCUGGAUCUGGAUGCUACCCCGGAGCUGGAGGUGGAGCCUACCACAGGCCAAGGGGCAGAAGUGGAGGAGACGGUAGCGGAGCCGGUGGCACCCCCACAGGCGCGCCCAGGAAGACCGAGGCGCACGGCAAGGAGGACCACUUCUGCACCCUUUAGCACCCCCUCUGGCUCCCAGCAGUUUUUUCAACGCGCUGAGGAGGUUUUGCAUAGGCCCCCGGAUGCCGAACAACAAUUUGGCAAUUUUAUUGCAUCGGAAAUGCGCCUGAUGACGGAUGAUCAAAAAUUCAUCGUCCAACGGUUAGUCAAUGAGAUUGUCUCACGUGGCAGGCGCCAAACACUGGUGUCGGCAUGUGAGAUAGUGCCAACUGACCCUUGGUAUCACCCAAAUUUGUCCCGUCCCCCCUUCCCAAACAACCCCCCCAUGGAGCAUGCGCCGGUAAACCCCCCUCAGCAACCGUAUUUUUUUCCGUCGGGAGCCACACAGCCCAGCCCCUCCCCCCAAUCUAGCACCUCGUCCAGUGGCAUGUACUCUGACAUGCAGAGUACACAGUCCUCUGUGCUGGGCGACCCACGCUUUUUUCAUUUAUAAUUAGUUUUUUGGACCCGGUUUUUUUGUUUUGUUAGAAAAAUCUGCUGGUGACCUUAUCCUACGCUCUUGCUCAAAGUGAACUGUAUUGAGGUCAUUAGUACUGCAGCGUCGGUUUUGUGUCCUCACUGUCCCGGACUACGGAUCGUUGUAAAGACUGCACUUCUUGUGUUCCUUCAAGACUGUUUGGAAAUUUGAUGAUGUUCUUCACCCAAGGCAAAAUUGCACUGUUUACCUCUACUGUACUCGGAUAUGCCCGUUUCCUGUUCUGUUGGCAUAGUCCCUGUCCAAAGGCACUCGUUCUCAUGGUACAGCUUAUGAAUCCUGGCCAGAGUUGGCGUUGGCAUUUAAUAUUUUUAUAAAUUUUACGAAAAAACAAA